This 1475-nucleotide ribosomal RNA is filed under the name Vibrio crassostreae 9ZC13. RNAcentral describes it as "bacterial LSU rRNA". It matches the Rfam family "Bacterial large subunit ribosomal RNA", at positions 1 to 1527 of the family's 2925-position model. The record is from RNAcentral. Lineage: Bacteria; Pseudomonadati; Pseudomonadota; Gammaproteobacteria; Vibrionales; Vibrionaceae.
GUUGUAUGGUUAAGUGACUAAGCGUACACGGUGGAUGCCUUGGCAGUCAGAGGCGAUGAAAGGCGUAAUAACUUGCGAUAAGCCCAGAUUAGGUAGUAAUAACCUUUUGAGUCUGGGAUUCCUGAAUGGGGAAACCCACUUACAUAAGUAAGUAUCCUGUUGUGAAUACAUAGCAACAGGAGGCAAACCGGGGGAACUGAAACAUCUAAGUACCCCGAGGAAGAGAAAUCAACCGAGAUUCCGAAAGUAGCGGCGAGCGAAAUUGGAUUAGCCCUUAAGCUUUUAAUGAUGCAGGUGAAGAGUCUGGAAAGUCUCGCAGUAAAGGGUGAUAGCCCCGUAACCGACACAUCAUAAUCAGUGAAAACGAGUAGGGCGGGACACGUGAUAUCCUGUCUGAAUAUGGGGGGACCAUCCUCCAAGGCUAAAUACUACUGACUGACCGAUAGUGAACCAGUACCGUGAGGGAAAGGCGAAAAGAACCCCUGUGAGGGGAGUGAAAUAGAACCUGAAACCGUGUACGUACAAGCAGUAGGAGCACCUUCGUGGUGUGACUGCGUACCUUUUGUAUAAUGGGUCAGCGACUUAAUUUUAGUAGCAAGGUUAACCGUUUAGGGGAGCCGUAGGGAAACCGAGUCUUAACUGGGCGUACAGUUGCUAGGAUUAGACCCGAAACCAGGUGAUCUAGCCAUGGGCAGGUUGAAGGUUGAGUAACAUCAACUGGAGGACCGAACCGACUAAUGUUGAAAAAUUAGCGGAUGACUUGUGGCUAGGGGUGAAAGGCCAAUCAAACCUGGAGAUAGCUGGUUCUCCCCGAAAGCUAUUUAGGUAGCGCCUCGGACGAAUACUACUGGGGGUAGAGCACUGUUAAGGCUAGGGGGUCAUCCCGACUUACCAACCCUUUGCAAACUCCGAAUACCAGUAAGUACUAUCCGGGAGACACACGGCGGGUGCUAACGUCCGUCGUGGAGAGGGAAACAACCCAGACCGCCAGCUAAGGUCCCAAAGUAUAGCUAAGUGGGAAACGAUGUGGGAAGGCUCAGACAGCCAGGAUGUUGGCUUAGAAGCAGCCAUCAUUUAAAGAAAGCGUAAUAGCUCACUGGUCGAGUCGGCCUGCGCGGAAGAUGUAACGGGGCUAAGCUAUACACCGAAGCUGCGGCUACGUACCUUAGGGUAUGUGGGGUAGGGGAGCGUUCUGUAAGCCGUUGAAGGUGGUCUGUAAGGGCUGCUGGAGGUAUCAGAAGUGCGAAUGCUGACAUGAGUAACGAUAAAGGGAGUGAAAAACUCCCUCGCCGGAAGACCAAGGGUUCCUGUCCAACGUUAAUCGGGGCAGGGUAAGUCGACUCCUAAGGCGAGGCCGAAAGGCGUAGUCGAUGGGAAACGGGUUAAUAUUCCCGUACUUCUUACAAUUGCGAUGGGGGGACGGAGAAGGCUAGGUGGGCCUGGCGACGGUUGUCCAGGUUCAAGUACGUAGGCGG